UGGAGGAAACUCUGAYGCAGCCAUGCCGCGUGAAGUGAAUGAAUGCCCUAAUGGGUUGUAAACUGCUUUUAUAUGGGAAKAAAUGAUGGAUACGUGUAUWUAUUGACGGUACCAUACGAAUAAGGACCGGCUAACUCCGUGCCRGCRGCCGCGGUAAUACGGAGGGUCCAGACGUUUAUCCGGAUUCAUYGGGUUUAAAGGGUUCGUAGGCGGAUAAAUAAGUCAGUGGUGAAAUCCCGAAGCUCACACUUCGAACUGCCWUUGAAACAUGUUUAUCUUGAAUUUAGUUGAAGUGGGCGGAAUAUGACAUGUAGCGGUGAAAUGCAUAGAUAUGUCAUGGAACACCAAUUGCGAAGGCAGCUCACUAAGCUAAUAUUGACGCUGAUGAACGAAAGCAUGGGUA
This 403-nucleotide ribosomal RNA is filed under the name uncultured bacterium. RNAcentral's name for it is "bacterial SSU rRNA". It matches the Rfam family "Bacterial small subunit ribosomal RNA", at positions 372 to 767 of the family's 1533-position model. The record is from RNAcentral.